AGGAUAUUAGUUUAAUUAAAAACAUUUAAAUUGCAUUUAAAAAUUAUCUCACAAAAUAUAUCUUA
This 65-nucleotide transfer RNA is filed under the name Scolytinae sp. BMNH 1040052. Its description in RNAcentral is "tRNA-Ala". The record is from RNAcentral. Lineage: Eukaryota; Metazoa; Arthropoda; Insecta; Coleoptera; Curculionidae.